AUCAAAUUAUGUGAAUACUUCUCUUUAUCUCUUCAUUUAUUAACACAGUGGUCUUGGAAGGUUUGCAAAUCUGGGAGUGGGGAGAAGCGAGAUUGUCUGGGGGAAUCGCCAGCAUUAAGUACUCCAGGAGACAGAUAAUAAAUGUUACGGGAUGCAAUGGGCAUUGGACAGCCCCUCAUGAAUAAUUCUUCCACCCAAAAUACCAACAUUUCUCCCUUUUAGAAACUCUGAGCUACUCAUCCACAAAAUGCAAGUAAUGAAUUUCUUCCACAACAAAUUAAAGGUAUACUUUGCCCAGUCAGGGUGCAUAAACCAUUUGUAAAAUUCCAUUCCAGUUCAAUCCCAACUGGAAUUAUUUUUGCAUUCAUUGGUCCUCCUCCUUUUUUUUUUUUUUUUGCCAAGUUUAAAUACAAUCAAACUGUUCACUUAAUCUCACUUUUUUGGAGCAAAUCUAUGGCAAUUACUCUUCCAUGACUAGGAAAUAGGAAGGAGGGGAUCACAUUAAAAAAACAGUUUGUUCUGUUCCUGGCAGGAGCUAUGUACCAUCCAAAAAAGAUUCAUAGAGUACAGAUGUCCCUAGGCUAAACCGUUGGCUGUGUUGGUCCAAGGUUUGAUAAAUGUCUCUCUCAGAAGUCACACUGAUUGCUUUG
Molecule: long non-coding RNA, 650 nt
Filed under: Homo sapiens (human)
Lineage: Eukaryota; Metazoa; Chordata; Mammalia; Primates; Hominidae
Description: HSALNT0127193
Source: RNAcentral